AUUGAACGCUGGCGGAAUGCUUUACACAUGCAAGUCGAACGGUAGAGGGGGCAACCCCUUGAGAGUGGCGAACGGGUGAGUAAUGUAUCGGAACGUGCCCAGUCGUGGGGGAUAACGUAGUGAAAAUUACGCUAAUACCGCAUACGAUCUAUGGAUGAAAGCGGGGGAUCGCAAGACCUCGCGCGAUUGGAGCGGCCGAUAUCAGAGUUAGGUAGUUGGUGGGGUAAAGGCUCACCAAGCCAACGAUCUGUAGCUGGUCUGAGAGGACGACCAGCCAGACUGGAACUGGGAAACGGGCCAGACUCCUACGGGAGGCAGCAGUGGGGAAUUUUGGNAANGGGGCGCAAGUCUGAUCCAGACAUUCCGCGUGCAGGACGAAGGCCUUCGGGUUGUAAACUGCUUUUGUACGGAACGAAAAAGCUCUUAUUAAUACUNGGAGUCCAUGACGGUACCGUAAGAAUAAGCACCGGCUAACUACGUGCCAGCCGCCGCAGUAA
This 497-nucleotide ribosomal RNA is filed under the name uncultured bacterium. RNAcentral describes it as "partial 16S ribosomal RNA". It matches the Rfam family "Bacterial small subunit ribosomal RNA", at positions 30 to 523 of the family's 1533-position model. The record is from RNAcentral.